GACGAACGCUGGCGGCGCGCCUAACACAUGCAAGUCGAACGAGCGAGAGAGAGCUUGCUUUCUCGAGCGAGUGGCGAACGGGUGAGUAACGCGUGAGGAACCUGCCUCAAAGAGGGUGACAACAGUUGGAAACGACUGCUAAUACCGCAUAAGCCCACGGCUCGGCAUCGAGCAGGGGGAAAAGGAGCAAUCCGCUUUGAGAUGGCCUCGCGUCCGAUUAGCUAGUUGGUGGGGUAACGGCCCACCAAGGCGACGAUCGGUAGCCGGACUGAGAGGUUGAACGGCCACAUUGGGACUGAGACACGGCCCAGACUCCUACGGGAAGCAGCAGUGGGGAAUAUUGCACAAUGGGGGAAACCCUGAUGCAGCGACGCCGCGUGGAGGAAGAAGGUCUUCGGAUUGUAAACUCCUGUUGUUGGGGAAGAUAAUGACGGUACCCAACAAGGAAGUGACGGCUAACUACGUG
RNAcentral lists this ribosomal RNA (466 nucleotides) under uncultured bacterium. RNAcentral's name for it is "partial 16S ribosomal RNA". It matches the Rfam family "Bacterial small subunit ribosomal RNA", at positions 28 to 507 of the family's 1533-position model. The record is from RNAcentral.